RNAcentral lists this ribosomal RNA (493 nucleotides) under uncultured bacterium. RNAcentral describes it as "partial 16S ribosomal RNA". It matches the Rfam family "Bacterial small subunit ribosomal RNA", at positions 29 to 507 of the family's 1533-position model. The record is from RNAcentral.
ACGAACGCUGGCGGCGUGCUUGACCCAUGCAAGUCGAACGGAAAGGCCUGCUUUCCCUUGUGGAUUGCGGGUACUCGAGUGGCGAACGGGUGAGUAACACGUGAGUGAUCUGCCCCCAACUUGGGUAUAAGCCUGGGAAACUGGGUCUAAUUCCCGAUAGGACUGCAGGGUGGUGCCUGUGGUGGAAAACGAUUUUCUAGUGGUUGGGGAUGAGCUCGCGGCCUAUCAGCUUGUUGGUGGGGUAAUGGCCUACCAAGGCGGCGACGGGUAGCCGGCCUGAGAGGGUGGACGGCCACAUUGGGACUGAGAUACGGCCCAGACUCCUACGGGAGGCAGCAGUGGGGAAUAUUGCACAAUGGGCGGAAGCCUGAUGCAGCGACGCCGCGUGGGGGAUGACGGCCUUCGGGUUGUAAACUCCUUUCGACCGCGAGGAAGCCACCUGGUUGGAAGGGUGGUGACGGUAGUGGUAGAAGAAGCACCGGCUAACUACGUG